UACGUAGGGUGCAAGCGUUAAUCGGAAUUACUGGGCGUAAAGGGUGCGCAGGUGGUUUAUCAAGCCAGAUGUGAAAUCCCCGGGCUUAACCUGGGAAUGGCAUUUGGGACUGAUAGACUAGAGUACGGCAGAGGGGGGUAGAAUUCCACGUGUAGCAGUGAAAUGCGUAGAGAUGUGGAGGAAUACCGAUGGCGAAGGCAGCCCCCUGGGUUGAUACUGACACUCAAGCACGAAAGCGUGGGUAGCAAACAG
Molecule: ribosomal RNA, 252 nt
Filed under: uncultured bacterium
Lineage: Bacteria
Description: partial 16S ribosomal RNA
Rfam family: Bacterial small subunit ribosomal RNA
Source: RNAcentral